UACAGAGGUGGCAAGCGUUGUUCGGAAUUACUGGGCGUAAAGGGCGCGUAGGCGGCCUUGUAAGUCCUGUGUGAAAUCCCCCGGCUCAACUGGGGAACUGCACAGGAGACUGCUUGGCUUGAGUUCGGGAGAGGGAAGCGGAAUUCCGGGUGUAGCGGUGAAAUGCGCAGAUAUCCGGAGGAACACCGGUGGCGAAGGCGGCUUCCUGGACCGACACUGACGCUGAGGCGCGAAGGCCAGGGGAGCAAACGGG
This 253-nucleotide ribosomal RNA is filed under the name uncultured bacterium. RNAcentral's name for it is "partial 16S ribosomal RNA". It matches the Rfam family "Bacterial small subunit ribosomal RNA", at positions 524 to 776 of the family's 1533-position model. The record is from RNAcentral.